RNAcentral lists this ribosomal RNA (227 nucleotides) under uncultured Gammaproteobacteria bacterium. RNAcentral describes it as "partial 16S ribosomal RNA". It matches the Rfam family "Bacterial small subunit ribosomal RNA", at positions 1146 to 1371 of the family's 1533-position model. Lineage: Bacteria; Pseudomonadati; Pseudomonadota; Gammaproteobacteria. The record is from RNAcentral.
AGACUGCCGGUGACAAACCGGAGGAAGGUGGGGAUGACGUCAAGUCAUCAUGGCCCUUAUGACCUGGGCUACACACGUGCUACAAUGGCCGGUACAAAGGGCUGCAAACUUGCGAGAGGGAGCCAAUCCCAUAAAGCCGGUCGUAGUCCGGAUUGGAGUCUGCAACUCGACUCCAUGAAGUCGGAAUCGCUAGUAAUCGUGAAUCAGAAUGUCCACGGUGAAUACGU